GAUUCAUUUCGCAACACCUACGGCUUCCACUAGAUGUCAACGAUCUUUAUAAAGUUGUUUGAAGCGUCUAUGAUAAACAGAGAGCAAAUUAGAAUCCAAGGAAGUUGACAUGUCAUCACUUCAUUUUUUUGCGCCUGCGCAUAAAUCUGAGAAACGUGAGUUUGUCAUCAUUGUUUAUCUAGACAUAGGAUAGGUUGUGUGAAAAUAUUACUGAUGUUUAACGUUAAAAAUGGACCAAAAGAUUAAUGCUAAACAACAUUUGACAUGUUUGAACGAACAUAAAUAGAUUAUUUACUAGGUUUUUUUAGCUUUUCGGCGUGAUUUUACCAGCCCCACACCACGUUUUGUGGGAGCAUAAUGAACGCUAAGUACUUGGUGUUAUUUGGACAUAAAUUCUGAACUUUGUCAAAAGAAACCACAUUUGUUCCGGACCUGGAAUGCCUUCCGGACCUGGGAUCCUGCCUUCUGAUGGAGAUAAUCAAAGACCAUUUCCGGAGACCUUCUCCCCUACCUCACCUCGCUCAUCAACUCAUCCUUGACCGCUGGCUACGUCCCUUCCGUCUUCAAGAGAGCGAGAGUUGCACCCCUUCUGAAAAAACCUACACUCGAUCCCGCCGAUGUCAACAACUACAGACCGAUAUGGAGAUUUGUGAAAUCCCGUCUGCUGAUGAAGAGGUCCCAGUGAAUUUCCCAAGAGACUGCUGGCACAUCCUUCUAUGCCAUGGGUUGAAUGUAUACUUAUGUUAGCAAAUGUUGUAUACAACAAUACAGUUAAAAGUCACACACAAUGUAAGCUAUAAACUUAUUACAACUUUUUCUAUAAUCUAUUUAUGGUCAAAUACUUCAGUUGUAACUGUGGAACUCACUUUUUACAGUUGAAGACAACUUAAGCACUCUUAAAAACUCAUUUGAAUGAGUUUGUUUAUUUCUUACAGUAGCCUAUAGAUCUAAACAUCUCUGGAGGUGCUGCAUGGGCUCAUUUGUUGUCUUACUAUUAAUUACACAGGCUGUAUGACCUAUUUCUUGGUCAACUCAUAUCAAUAUCAGCUUAUUAGUGGUGGGGUAGGCUAAAUAAAAACAGAAUAUGCCUAAUUAAAAGAACAGUAAUGAAGGAAAUUAAAAAAUGCUGGGCAGAGCAUGCAAAGAGCUCAUGUCUGAGCGGUACCGGAGCAAAAUUGGAGCUAGAGAGAAGGCCAACUCUCCAACAUAUUUGCCAUUGACACUUUGUAAUUAUGUGUUGCUCUAUAAAAGAGACCAGGACGGAAUCUAUAAUCUUUGACUUUAUUGAACUACCUGAACAUAAAACCUUUACUACAAAAUGUGCCUGCUUCCGUACCAUGUCUGUUUCACCUUCAUCUGUCACAAAAUGAGCCCAGACCAUGAGUGAAGGGAGGGAGGAAUCCAUGAAUUGAUGGGCUGUGCUAUUUCCUCCUUGGAAGUACCCAUUUCAAAGUGGCAGAGGCUUUCCCCACUACCGUACAGUCCCUGUUUGUGGGCUAAAUGAGUGCUGGUCCACGCCAGCUUUUAAAGCCCAUUAUCCAAAGGGAGAGAAGAGGGAAUACUGCUUCCAACUGCUGUCUCCCAGCCCAGGCUUCUCUCCGGCAAAGCAUGAAGAAUACCUUCCCUGUGGCACAAAAACCCUUCCCUUCUUUAUGAGUCAUUGACAUGCAGAGUUACAUCCACCAUAGAAACCCUUAUUCCCUGCAACAUUAUUAAUUCAGAAAGUCAGUUCCCGACUUUAUUAUUCCUCCAUAAAUCAGGAUUCCAAAACAAUAUGCCAACUAUCGGAGGUGAAAUAUGAUUGAGAUGUAGCGCUGACAGGGUCAUAAGAGUUAUCCAAAUUUGCAUUAAUUAGCACUGUUCGUACCAAAUACUGUGAUUUACUCAAACGAUUGAGUCCACAUGCCUAUCUUUGUAC
RNAcentral lists this long non-coding RNA (1918 nucleotides) under Salmo salar (Atlantic salmon). RNAcentral describes it as "lncRNA (ENSSSAG00000103239.1)". The record is from RNAcentral. Lineage: Eukaryota; Metazoa; Chordata; Actinopteri; Salmoniformes; Salmonidae.